GCUGUCUACUGCCUGACAUUUACUUGAAGCAUUCCUGCCUUUGCUCUCUGUCGGCGCCCUUUAGGAUCUGCUGUUGCUGCUGCCAAACUCGCUCUCGGCUGCAUCUCAAGAUUCUGCUGAACACACCAUCGUACUCUCUAUUUCGCCACAAGCCUCUUAAAGGCCAAAAUCCCAAUUCAAGGUGUCUGCAAUCCAUUUAUAACUAAAACUAGCCUCUGGCCAUCCGAUCAACUCUCAAAAUCAGCGCUAUCAAGCCGCUCGCAUUUCUAUCCAUUGGAUCGUGCAAUAUUGAGUCCCCGAUCCAUCAAAAUGCUUGUAAAUCAUGCAAAAUAGAUUAGAAACCACCAUCGAUCCACGUAAACCAUGAGAAAUUGGGCAAGAAAUACCCAGCUGGUCCACGCGAUGCCCCAUGGACUGUCGGUCCAUGCACCACACG
Molecule: long non-coding RNA, 436 nt
Filed under: Elaeis guineensis (African oil palm)
Lineage: Eukaryota; Viridiplantae; Streptophyta; Magnoliopsida; Arecales; Arecaceae
Description: long non-coding RNA (EGUI_LNC024768)
Source: RNAcentral